Long non-coding RNA from Triticum aestivum (bread wheat), 1499 nucleotides. RefSeq lists it as uncharacterized. The transcript has 7 exons. Lineage: Eukaryota; Viridiplantae; Streptophyta; Magnoliopsida; Poales; Poaceae. The record is from RefSeq and is a predicted model, not a curated record.
UCAUACUAUAAUGAUCCAAGGACAAUGCCUUGUACAUUCUUUCAGCCCUGUAGAGUCCAACUCUUUUCAUGACAUGAGGGUCUUGUGGCCGUCGUCUUCCUUCCUAUACAAAAUUCUGGUGUUGUUAUGUUUGUUUGGUAAGCUUUGCAGCCACUUGUGUUUACAUUUUGUCCAAAACUCAUGAUGACCUGAUGGUGUACCUGGAACGUUCAGUUUUAAGGAUCAAAAGACCAUCACGGCAUACUGAUAAGCAUACUGUAGCAGUUCAGGCGUGGAGUCUGAAGGUAUAGUGCAUAUCCGUGCUGAAUCAGUGAAUUUGUGCAGCGUUUUACAGUUGAGGGCAAUCCUGGAAUUGCAAAAAGCUCAACGAGGCAUGAUUGUAUUUUCGCUCCCCAACCAUUUUCUGAGCACCACUUUGUGCUAUCUGUACUCCGAGUUCUAUGAUUUUUUUUUAUCUUCCCAUUACCGUCCAAUACAAAGUAGUGAAAAUUUGGUCUGAUCAAGUGAACAGUGAAUGAGGAUGUCGAUUAUGCUGGGUAUCUACUUGGUGCCCAACUGUUUACAUGCGGUACUUGAGUAACCAGCUCUGAUCGUUCUUUUAUCUACUUCAGUCAGACAGGCAUGUACUGUUGGUAGCUAAUCUCAACUAUGAUGUUGCUUGGUUUUGCAGAUCAAUCUCCUCGGAAGCAACCAAAUGAGUUGGGGAAAGGUGUGGUUGACUGAGGCAGUCUUGUAAUACUGCAACAGCCACACAAGCAUGGCACUGUUCGGUGGAUGAGGUUUUAACUGUUCCUCGGAUGCAGUGUACCUAAGAUGGUCAUCUUAGAUGGAUUUUGGUACACAUUCAUUAUUAUAUGCACGCUACACGAUGAUAUAACAUGGAAAUGAAAGGUACCUGCCCGGAAUAAAACUGAAUUCAAAUGGCUGGUUGAAUUUUGCUGGUGUGGGUAAUUGGAGAAGGUUUUGUACUCACGGUUCUCGCCGAGAACUGCAACUCCAGCAGAACGUUUAUUCAUGCGAGAAUUGGAGUGCUGCCAAGAACUGUGAUCAGUUGAAUUGCAAGUCUGCGGAAUAGAAAUGCUUGCUGGAGCCUUUCCUAGGCUAGGCUAGCAGAAGCGUGAACGAUACAUAUCUUGCUGAAGAAAUGCUUGCUGGAGCCUUUACUUGCAUAUCUAACCGAAGAAACCGACACCCAGCGGUUAUCUUCAUCAAAUCUAACAGCAACUUACCGCUUUCCCCGGAGUUACACGACACACUGCCACACCCUUCAUCGCGCAUCCAACAGCUCUGAAGACUAGGGCUGUCGCUAUUUUGGAUUAUGACCUUUACUGUCUCCUUGUUCACCAGCUUUACUUUAGCGUUGAAGUUACCUUUCACUGGUUGUAAUGGGUAGAAAUGCCCGGAUCUACUGUAUAUGAGAGCCCUGGAGCUCAUCUUCCUGUUACUUGGGGUAAACCCCUAGCCGCCGUGCCCUGGGUGGCGUAAACGUGCAUCCUUAA